GACGGAGCUUAGAGAGCUUGCUUUUUAAGCUUAGUGGCGAACGGGUGAGUAACGCGUGAGUAACCUGCCCUAGAGUGGGGGACAACAGUUGGAAACGACUGCUAAUACCGCAUAAGCCCACGGUGCCGCAUGGCACUGAGGGAAAAGGAUUUAUUCGCUUUAGGAUGGACUCGCGUCCGAUUAGCUAGUUGGUGAGGUAAUGGCCCACCAAGGCAACGAUCGGUAGCCGGACUGAGAGGUUGAACGGCCACAUUGGGACUGAGACACGGCCCAGACUCCUACGGGAGGCAGCAGUGGGGAAUAUUGCACAAUGGGGGAAACCCUGAUGCAGCGACGCCGCGUGGAGGAAGAAGGUCUUCGGAUUGUAAACUCCUGUUGUUGAGGAAGAUAAUGACGGUACUCAACAAGGAAGUGACGGCUAACUACGUGCCAGCAGCCGCGGUAAAACGUAGGUCACAAGCGUUGUCCGGAAUUACUGGGUGUAAAGGGAUCGCAGGCGGGAAGACAAGUUGGAAGUGAAAUCUAUGGGCUCAACCCAUAAACUGCUUUCAAAACUGUUUUUCUUGAGUAGUGCAGAGGUAGGCGGAAUUCCCGGUGUAGCGGUGGAAUGCGUAGAUAUCGGGAGGAACACCAGUGGCGAAGGCGGCCUACUGGGCACCAACUGACGCUGAGGCUCGAAAGUGUGGGUAGCAAACAGGAUUAGAUACCCUGGUAGUCCACACCGUAAACGAUGAUUACUAGGUGUU
RNAcentral lists this ribosomal RNA (746 nucleotides) under uncultured bacterium. Its description in RNAcentral is "bacterial SSU rRNA". It matches the Rfam family "Bacterial small subunit ribosomal RNA", at positions 65 to 824 of the family's 1533-position model. The record is from RNAcentral.